GGGGAAUUUUGGACAAUGGGCGCAAGCCUGAUCCAGCCAUGCCGCGUGCAGGAAGAAGGCCUUCGGGUUGUAAACUGCUUUUGUCAGGGAAGAAAUCCUUUGGGUUAAUACCUCGGAGGGAUGACGGUACCUGAAGAAUAAGCACCGGCUAACUACGUGCCAGCAGCCGCGGUAAUACGUAGGGUGCAAGCGUUAAUCGGAAUUACUGGGCGUAAAGCGUGCGCAGGCGGUUAUGCAAGACAGAGGUGAAAUCCCCGGGCUCAACCUGGGAACUGCCUUUGUGACUGCAUGACUAGAGUACGGCAGAGGGAGAUGGAAUUCCGCGUGUAGCAGUGAAAUGCGUAGAUAUGCGGAGGAACACCGAUGGCGAAGGCAAUCUCCUGGGCCUGUACUGACGCUCAUGCACGAAAGCGUGGGGAGCAAAC
This 425-nucleotide ribosomal RNA is filed under the name uncultured bacterium. RNAcentral describes it as "bacterial SSU rRNA". It matches the Rfam family "Bacterial small subunit ribosomal RNA", at positions 356 to 773 of the family's 1533-position model. The record is from RNAcentral.